RNAcentral lists this long non-coding RNA (900 nucleotides) under Pongo abelii (Sumatran orangutan). RNAcentral's name for it is "lincRNA". The record is from RNAcentral. Lineage: Eukaryota; Metazoa; Chordata; Mammalia; Primates; Hominidae.
GCUGGAGGGGCCUCCCUCGCCCGCCUCUCUUCGCCGGCGCUGGCCUCCCGCACCCAGGUCUGCAGUCCCUCCGCCAUCUCGUAGGUGUGCAGCCGCUAGGCCUGGGGGAUCCGAAUGACUGGGGCUGGAUAGGAAUGCCUUCGUGUUUCCCAAGACCCCCGGGCCUGCUCCACAAAGUUUGAAGGGAGGAGUUGAGGCGCCUUGAAUUUUCCUUCGCGAGUUUGGAGGCUAGCCGAUUUUUCAUGAAGCAAGCAAAGACCGCGGUCCCGGAUCCUGCAACAUCUACCUCAUUCUCUCCAGGCCUCUCCACUUGCCCGAGCUCUCAGCCACCAGGAGACAGACAGAAGGGGCUUCUGGGCUGCGUUGGGAGCGGGCACUGUCCCCUACCCACUCCUGCUCGGUUUCCCAAAGUCCAGCGACCUCCGACCCUCCUUGGGGGGAAAAAUACCAGUACCCAGACACCUCCGCACCCUGUUAUAUGACUGGGCUUGCUUCAGGAAUAUCUUACAAAGAAGAAGAAGAAGAAGAAAGAACGGCUUGGAGUCAUGUUUACAUCUAGUUCUACUGAUCCGUUCACAUCUGGAGAGUUUAUUUAUAACUCCCUCUAUAACUCUCUGUUUGGAGGCACUGGUGGCUCUAUUGACAGACUGAUGUCUAGGAAAUAUUGCUCUAUGUCUAACCGUACCUAAAUGUGCUGUGGUUGUAUUUACAGAUUUAUGUUUGAGGGAAAUAUAAUUAUUUCCAUUGUAUUUGUGCAUAUACAGUAGUUAUAGGAGCAGAUUUAUAUAUGGGAAAAUAUAUGACUCUCUUACAGCCAUCCGGCUUUAUGUACAUUUGAUAUCCUGACAGAUUUAUAUCUCUGAACAGCUAUAUAGAUAAAAAUGUAUAUUGUUAGAAUUA